GUGAACAGUUUGUAGUGAAUAUAGUCAAGACGCUGGCGACAGUACACCCACCCUGAGACCGUCAGACCCCUCAUCUUCUGUCUGGAACCACUGUUUGAGUCCAACUUUUACUGUACCAUAGCUUCCUAUGAGACACGGCGUGGAUGGGAACCUCCAGAGAGAGCUGGUGGGCCUUGUGCUGUGAUCCAAAUGGACAAACCACGACCACUGUCAAUCGGACAAUUAGGACUGGUGACAGACAUCCUACUACUUUGCGGUCACUAGAAAGGACAGCAGAGGAAUCAGAUGAGAGGAGACAGAAGAGGAGA
Long non-coding RNA from Esox lucius (northern pike), 308 nucleotides. RefSeq lists it as uncharacterized. Lineage: Eukaryota; Metazoa; Chordata; Actinopteri; Esociformes; Esocidae. The record is from RefSeq and is a predicted model, not a curated record. The transcript has 3 exons.